Pelodiscus sinensis (Chinese soft-shelled turtle) is the source of this 117-nucleotide ribosomal RNA. The record is from Ensembl. Lineage: Eukaryota; Metazoa; Chordata; Testudines; Trionychidae.
UUCUACAACCAUUUUACCUUGGCCUGUGAUCUCAUCAGAUUUCACAAGCUAAGCAGUGUCUGAUUGGAUCUGUAGUUGGAUAGGGGACCUCCAGGGAAAAGGCAGGUGCUGCAGGAA